Molecule: ribosomal RNA, 1522 nt
Filed under: Alloalcanivorax venustensis ISO4
Lineage: Bacteria; Pseudomonadati; Pseudomonadota; Gammaproteobacteria; Oceanospirillales; Alcanivoracaceae
Description: partial 23S ribosomal RNA
Rfam family: Bacterial large subunit ribosomal RNA
Source: RNAcentral
GAGCUAACCCAGCGAAUUGAAACAUCUUAGUAGCUGGAGGAAGAGAAAUCAAGAGAGAUUCCCUAAGUAGUGGUGAGCGAAAGGGGAAGAGCCUAAACCAAAGGGUUUACCUUUUGGGGUAGUGGGACAGCAAUAACGAAUCAUGGAGACUAGACGAAACAGCUAUCGAAAGUCAAAGGAUAGUAGCUGAAUCCCGAGUAGCAUGGGGCACGAGGAAUCCCAUGUGAAUCAGCGAGGACCAUCUCGUAAGGCUAAAUACUACUGUGUGACCGAUAGUGAACCAGUACCGCGAGGGAAAGGUGAAAAGAACCCCGGAAGGGGAGUGAAGUGGGAGUCCGAUUAACCGGAUGACCGCGUGCCUGUUGAAGAAUGAGCCGGCGACUUAUAGGCACUGGUAGGUUAAAGCGAGAAUGCUGGAGCCAAAGGGAAACCGAGUCUGAAAAGGGCGAUAAUCAGUGUUUAUAGACCCGAACCCUGGUGAUCUAACCAUGGCCAGGAUGAAGCUUGGGUAACACCAAGUGGAGGUCCGAACCGACCGAUGUUGAAAAAUCGGCGGAUGAGCUGUGGUUAGGGGUGAAAUGCCAAUCGAACCAGGAGCUAGCUGGUUCUCCCCGAAAUGUGUUUAGGCGCAGCGGUAAUGAUUAUAUCUGGGGGGUAAAGCACUGUUUCGGUGCGGGCUGGGAGACCGGUACCAAAUCGAGACAAACUCUGAAUACCCAGAGCACACAUUGCCAGUGAGACAGUGGGGGAUAAGCUUCAUUGUCAAGAGGGAAACAGCCCAGACCACCAGCUAAGGUCCCCAAAUCAUCGCUAAGUGAUAAAGGAGGUGAGAGUGCACAGACAACUAGGAGGUUUGCCUAGAAGCAGCCACCCUUGAAAGAGUGCGUAAUAGCUCACUAGUCAAGCGCUCUCGCGCCGAAAAUGAACGGGGCUAAGCGAUGUACCGAAGCUGUGGGAUUAAUUAAUUAAUCGGUAGGGGAGCGUUCCGUCGUAGGUAGAAGCAGUAGCGGCGAGCAGCUGUGGACGAAACGGAAGUGAGAAUGUCGGCUUGAGUAGCGCAAAUGUAUGUGAGAAUCAUACACCCCGAAACCCUAAGGGUUCCAGAGCCAGGUUCGUCCACUCUGGGUUAGUCGGGACCUAAGGCGAGGCCGAACGGCGUAGUCGAUGGACAACGUGUCAAUAAUCACGUACUAUCCGGUGGGAGCAUUGCUAGGGACGCAUGAAAGAUAGCCAUACCCUGAUUGGUUUGGGAGGGGUUUACGAACUCCGAGUGGGGAAGGAUAGUGCCAAGAAAAGCUAGGGAUGUGAUGAAAGCAGGAUACCCGUACCCGAAACCGACACAGGUAGGGAGGUUGAGAAUACCAAGGGGCGCGAGAUAACUCUCUCUAAGGAACUCGGCAAAGGUGCCCACUGUAUAAGUGGGUCGCAGUGAAGAGAUCCAGGCGACUGUUUACCAAAAACACAGGUCUCCGCAAACUCGUAAGAGGACGUAUGGGGGCUGACGCCUGCCCAGUGCCGGAAG